AUUCAUUUUCCUGCUAUACAUUAUUUUGCUCUCUUCAUAGGUAGAUGCAUAAAUGGUAAGGAUGAGGCAUGUCACAUGUGUGUUCCUGACCGUAGUGUUCUCAAGAGUGAUGUAUUAGGAGAUAGACAAUAUAACUUGGGGGCCAUUGUUGCACGUAGGUUGCAUAAUAAUAGUAUUGAUGGAGAUUUCUUUGGUGGAAUUUAUGCAACCCGUUUAGCUGAUUUUCUUGAGAUACCCAUAUGUGGAUAUGAUAUUGAGUUGCCUCCUGCUUAUUUAGAUUGUAAUGUCAUAGUUCGUCAUCAGUUUGUUGAGAGGAACAAUCAAUUCCUCCAGUACCGACUAAUCUUUGACACACGACGCACAUAUCACGUCGCUCUCCCUGCUCCUACCCUCUUUGACUUUCAGGCAAAAGGGAGAUAUGUUAUAACCAGGGAGGAGGCGACCCAGUACGAGAGGAGGACGGAGGCAGCUCGCCUCCAAGCUGCAGCUCGUCAGGCAAUAGCUGAUGCAUCUCAGUAUGACCCCAGCUUCAACUUCGGAUAUCCACCAGGCCAUCCAUGGGCAUAGACCAACUUAGGCUAAAAGCCUAAGCUUGUGUGAGUAUGUAUUUCUCACCGACAUUAAAUUCAUGUUCACACACUCAUGCUAGUUGUCGGUGCUCAUACUUUCUCAUUGUAUCAUCCAUGAUAGUUUAUUUCCUUUUUAGCUUUCUUCUUGUGUUCCUUAAUAAACCUUAAGAAAAACAAAAAAAAUAGUUAUAGCUUAGCUAGUUUACUUUCCAUGCCUGUAGUAGUAGUAAUUAAAAAGAAAACCCAAAAAGAGUUCUCGUUCUUCUUUUGCUUGUUGGGAGCUUUCCCGUGUAAAUAGUUUUGUUUCUUUUCUUUCAUCAUUUGGGGGUCGAGAGGAGAAGACCAUAAUGAAAAUAUUGAGUGGCUCUCAUAUGCAUUAUUGUUGAUCUAACAAAGAGCCCAUAUUACCUUGUCUUCUCUCUUGAAUUGGAUGCUUGCAGAUUCCAGCUUAGUCCAAUGCACGAGCACUAUUAUUAUUAUCCACACUAUUCGGUCGUGCAAAUGAAAGGCAAUAAUGAUGAUAUAUGAUGAACUCAUUGAGAUGAGGAAAGCUGGUAUGAACUCGACCUCUCUUGUUUUUGUACAUAUGAUCGGUCCAUCGUUCCUGAUUCAGCCUAUUAUGAAAGAAACAUAUUUGCAAUGACAAUUAGAGAUUAUAGUUUCUUAUGCCAUGCUUAAUUAGCUAGGAGCUUACAAUUGUUUACCUUGCGUGCCAACAUGCUAUUAAAAUUGUUGUGAUGUGGUAUGAUAGGGUGGUAUCCUCUUUUGAAUGAUUCGAGUGGCUUGACUUGGCACAUGUUCAUGCAUGUAGUUGAAACAAAAUCAACAUAGCCUCUACGAUAUUUAUGUUCACGAUGCAUUAUAUCCUACUCAUGCUUGCAUUCGGUGUUGAUUAAUUUUAAUGCAUGUUCAUGAAUGUUGUCGCCCUCUAGUUGGUCGCUUCCAAGUCUUUUUCUAGCCUUCACUUGUACUAAGAGGGAAUACUGCUUGUGCAUCCAACUCUAUAAAACCCAAAGUUGUUCCAUAUGAGUCCAUCAUACCUACCUAUAUACGGUAUCUACCUGCCGUUCAAAGUAAAUUUGUAUGUACCAAACUCUAAACCUUCAAAUAAACAUCUUGUUUUGUAUGCUCGAAUAUCUCAUGUAUCAACUAGGGUUGUAUGUAUCCUCCAUGCUAGGUGGGUUAUUCUCAAGAGGAGUGGACUCCGCUCCUCACUCACGAGAAAAUGGCUGGUCACCAGGAUGCCCAGUCCCAUGCUUUAAGAAAAUCAAAUCAAAAUAAUUGUAAACAAAACUCCCCCGGGAUUGUUGUUAGUUGGAGACACCCGUUGUUUCGGGCAAGCCAUGAAUUGAUGCUUGUUGGUGGUGGGGAGUAUAAACUUUACCAUUCUGCUUGGGAACUGCCUAGAAUGUGUGUAGCAUGGAAGAUAUCAAGAUCCACUACUAGGAAAAUGCCUAGUAGUAGCGCGGGUGCCUGCGCUACUACUACGGUGCUACAGCUAACUAGUAGUAGUAGCACGGUGCAUCCCGCGCUACUAGUACGUGUGUUAUUAGUAGCGCAUGUCUGUGACCCGCGCUACUACUAUUAAUUUGAAAAACCAAAAAAAUCUCGACCCCAUGACGCGCGCAUGUUGGCCGGGAGCAGGGAGAUCUCGUCCAUGACGCGUGCCUCAUGGAAGCCUCGAGAGCGGCCGCGGAGGCCAGCCCAGCGUGGUCCAGGAGCUGCAGGACUUGCAUCUUGGCACCGUGCGUGGGGAGCAACACCUCGCGGUGGCCGUCGCCGUUGAGGUCGGCGACGAGCGGCAGCAGGAGGCGGUCCACGUCUUCCGAUGAGAAGUCGCCCUCGUGCUGCCGGAGGAGGAGGGGGAUUAGUCAGCUAGCGUUCCGGAUCGAAUCGGAGAGGGGGCGGAGGGCUGACCUGGAGCAAGAAGAAUACGGUGAAGGCGGCGAGGAGGAGGAUGCCGUGGUCGCGCUUCCGCAUCUUGGCGGCGGCGAGGAGCUCCAGCGACCGCCCACCGAAGGGAUCUCGAAGAGGGAGGGGGCGGAGAAAGCAGAGUGUACCAACGGCGGCCACCGCUGGAGUAUGAGGGAGAGACGAGGAAAGUGAGAGAGGGGGAAAGUGAGGGAGAGAGUAGGGAUUCGGCUGAGGAUACGGGGAUUUCACCUACCUCGUACUUAGUAUUAGCGAGGGGUGUAAAACCGCGCUACUACUAUCAACUUAGUAGUAGCGCAGGUUUGUACCCCUCGCUACUACUAUGGCAUGUCCCGGGAGGGCACGGUAGAGAUCGCUUAGUAGUAGCGAGGGUUAAAAACCCGUGCUACUAGUAUCAACUUAGUAGUAGCGAGGGUUAAAAACGCGCGCUACUAGUAAGUAGCAGUAGCGAGGGUUAUAAACCCUCGCUACUAGUAAGCGUCUGCCUAUAAGCUUUUCCCUAGUAGUGAUCUCUCGGGUGUUAUGUUGACAAUGAAAGUAUACCGCCUAAAAUAUUAUUCACAUCUAUUUCAAAACCGAGCUCUGACACCUCUACAAAUCCCUGCUUCCCUCUGCGAAGGGCUUAUCUAUUUACUUUUAUGUUGAGUCAUCAUCCUCUUAUUAAAAAGCAUCAGUUGGAGAGCACCGCCAUUAUUUGCAUCCAUUACUAUUAAUUUAUAUUGAGUAUAACCAUUACUGGAUCUCUUUUACCAUGAAUUACAAUGUUUAGUCAGUCCUUGAUCUUCAAAGGUGCUCUGCAUUUAUGUUUUGCGAUCUCAGAAAGGGCUAGCGAGAUACCAUCUUGUUACAUCAUAUUAUGAUUGUUUUGAGAAAGUGUUGUCAUCCGAGAUUUAUUAUUAUUGCUCGCUAGCUGAUUAUGUCAUUGAUAUGAGUAAUCAUGAGACCUAAAUGUUAUUGUGAAUAUAGUUAGUUCAUAAUCUUUGUUGAAAACUUGAAUGCUGGCUUUACAUAUUUACAACAACAAGAGCAAACAUAGUUUGUAAAAGUUUUUCUUUAUCACUUUUAGUUUAUCAACUUAAUUGCUUGAGGACAAGGAAAGGUUUAAGCUUGGGGGAGUUGAUACGUCUCCAUCGUAUCUACUUUUCCAAACAUUGUUGCCCUUGUUUUGGACUCUAACUUGCAUGAUUUGAAUGGAACUAACCCGGACUGACGUUGUUUUCAGAAGAUGUUAUUUUUGUGCAGAAAUAAAAGUUCUCAGAAUGACCUGAAAAUCAACAGAGAUUAUUUUUGGAAUAUAUAAAAAAUACUCGAAGAAAGACCCACGUUAGGGGGCCCACACCCUGUCCACGAGGGUGGGGGCGCGCCUACCCCCUGGGCGCGCCCCUACCUCGUGGGCCCGCUGACGCUCCACCAACCUCAACUCCAACUCCAUAUAUUCGUGUUCGGAGAGAAAAAAAUCAGAGCAAAGGAUUCAUCGCGUUUUACGAUAUGGAUCUGCCGCCAAGCCCUAAUCUCUCUCGGGAGGGCUGAUCUGGAGUCUGUUCGGGGCUCCGGAGAGAGCAAUCCGUCGCCAUCGUCAUAAUCAACCUUCCUCCAUCACCAAUUCAAUGGUGCUCACCGCCGUGCGUGAGUAAUUCCAUCGUAGGCUUGCUGGACGGUGAUGGGUUGGAUGAGAUUUAUCAUGUAAUCGAUUUAGUUUUGUUAGGGUUUGAUCCGUAGUAUCCAUUAUGUUCUGAGAUUGAUGUUGCUAUGACUUUGCUAUGCUUAAUGCUUGUCACUAGGGCCCGAGUGCCUUGAUUUCAGAUCUGAACCUAUUAUUCCAUGAAUAUAUGUGAGUUCUUGAUCCUAUCUUGCAAGUCUAUAGUCACCUACUAUGUGUUAUGAUCCGGCAACCCUGAAGUGACAAUAAUCGGUACCACUCCCGGUGAUGACCGUAGUUUGAGGAGUUCAUGUAUUCACUAUGUGUUAAUGCUUUGGUUCGGUACUCUAUUAAAAGGAGGCCUUAAUAUCCCUUAGUUUUUAAUAGGACCCCGCUGCACGGGAGGGUAGGACAAAAUAUGUCAUGCAAGUUCUUUUCCAUAAGCACGUAUGACUAUAUUCAAAAUACAUGCCUACAUUACAUUGAUGAAUUGGAGCUAGUUCUGUGUCACCCUAUGUUAUAACUGUUGCAUUAAUAAUCGCAUCCGGCAUAAUUCUCCAUCACCGAUCCAAUGCCUACAAGCUUUUCACAUAUUGUUCUUCGUUUAUUUACUUUAACGUUACCACUGUUACAAUCACUACAAAACUAUCACCGUUACUUUUGCCACCAUUAUCGUUACUUCCAUACUACUUUGCUACUAAAUACUUUGCUGCAGAUACUAAGUUAUCCAAGUGUGGUUGAAUUGACAACUCAACUGCUAAUACUUGAGAAUAUUGUUUGGCUCCCCUUGUGUCGAAUCAAUAAAUUUGGGUUGAAUACUCUACCCUCGAAAACUAUUGCGAUCCCCUAUACUUGUGGAUUAUCACCUGGCGGCGUCGAUGUCGUCAGGGGCAACUAUGAGAUGAAUAUGAAAAUUUUCACAAGUGUUGGUUAUAUACCAAGAGCUUUGGUUCCGGUUCGUGGCACCAACCGGGACUAAAGGGGGGCACUAGUCCCGGUUGGUACCACCAACCAGGACCAAAGGUGGGUAUUGGUCCCGGUUAGUGCCAGCAACUAGGACGAAAGGGGGUGCUGCUGGCCAGAACUUUAGUCCCACCUCGCUAGCUGAGAGGCUCCCGCACCGGUUUAUAAGCGCGGCUCUGCCUCCCCUUUCGAUCUCCUCUGAACUGCAGGCUUACGGGCCUAAACACAAUGUAUCUUCCUAUGGGCCUACUGGGCCUUCUGCAGGCCUGAAUCCUGGCCCAUGGGUGGGUUUCUAGUCGUAUUCAGGCCGUGGUGGCCUAGUAGGUGGCAUUUUUUUAUUUUUUCCAGUUUUUUCUUUGUUGCUUUACUUUUUAAUUGUGUUAAUACUUACAACAAAAUACUUAAUGUUGUUAUUUCUAAUUAUUUUAUUAAAGUUUAUUUAUUUUAUUUUAUUAAAGUUNNNNNNNNNNNNNNNNNNNNNNNNNNNNNNNNNNNNNNNNNNNNNNNNNNNNNNNNNNNNNNNNNNNNNNNNNNNNNNNNNNNNNNNNNNNNNNNNNNNNNNNNNNNNNNNNNNNNNNNNNNNNNNNNNNNNNNNNNNNNNNNNNNNNNNNNNNNNNNNNNNNNNNNNNNNNNNNNNNNNNNNNNNNNNNNNNNNNNNNNNNNNNNNNNNNNNNNNNNNNNNNNNNNNNNNNNNNNNNNNNNNNNNNNNNNNNNNNNNNNNNNNNNNNNNNNNNNNNNNNNNNNNNNNNNNNNNNNNNNNNNNNNNNNNNNNNNNNNNNNNNNNNNNNNNNNNNNNNNNNNNNNNNNNNNNNNNNNNNNNNNNNNNNNNNNNNNNNNNNNNNNNNNNNNNNNNNNNNNNNNNNNNNNNNNNNNNNNNNNNNNNNNNNNNNNNNNNNNNNNNNCUAGAGGUUUACAAAAUCUUUUUAGUUGAUUCCUUUUGCUAUUAGAGUUUUAUAAAAGUUUUUUAGUUGAUUUUCUUUUUGCUAUUAAAUAAUAUCGUAGUUUUGUUUUAGUUGAUCAUAACAGAAUAUUUUAAUUGAUUUUUUAGCUAUAAGACCCUGAAAUUCAAAAGCAUUUCAAAUGAACUCUGAAAAAGGUUGAAAAUUGGCAAGGUAUCAUCAUUUCACCGACAUGGCAUGUGCUAAAAAGUAGAGAGGGUUACGACAAAAACUAGAUGCACUUCGUGUACAAAAUGGACAAUCUCUUUCGAAGUAUCAGGGUUUCAGACGAAAACUCAUCUGUUACAACAGGAUUUCAUUUUUUUUUGAACUUAUUUGAACUCCAGACUUCUUCUGUGUUCAAAAUGCACCAUUCAAAGCCACAUCAUCAAUUUUCAACCCUUUCUGACUUCAUUUUGUUAUUUUUCAUGCAAUCAUUCUACUUGUUUGCCUCAGCCACUUCGAGAAACAUAAUUAUGUGUGUCUGUCACCGUACAUCCAUUGCCGGUUUAUCUGCGUGAAUUAUAUAUAAUUAUGUGUGUCAAAAACCAUUACAGGUUCACAUGGAUAGAUAAGUAGUUCAUCAUCACAUUAAAACCAAAGUACACACAUAGUUCAAAUUGAACAACAUAUAGCUCUCCAGAGCAUCUACUUAAACCAUACAUUGAAACUAUGUAAAACCUUUCAAUGCAACAACAAAUGCGAUCAUAAUCACAACCAAGGUAACAAUUGAUCCAACGGCAUAAUGAUACCAAGCCUCGGUAUGAAUGGCAUAUUUUCUAAUCUUUCUCAUCUUCAACCGCAUUGCAUCCAUCUUGAUCUUGUGAUCAUCGACGACAUCCGCAACAUGCAACUCCAAUAUCAUCUUCUCCUCCUCAGUUUUUUAUUUUUUCCUUCAAGUAAUUGUUUUCUUCUUCAACUAAAUUUAACCUCUCGACAAUAUGGUCGGUUGGAAUUUCCGGUUCAACUACCUCCUACAUAAAUAAUAUCUAUGUCACAUUUGUCGGCAUAAUUGCCAUAAACAAUAAAUGAACCAAAUAGUUAUAAAAAGAUAAUAUAUACCACAUCCGAAUCAUAGCCAGGACGAGGGCCGACGGGGGCGGAUACCAAAACCAUCGCACUAUAUAAUAACAAGCAAUAAUAGAAGUAAGAAAAUUAGACAAGUAUCUAUCUAAAGUAAGAAUAUAUAUUUUUCAGAAAGAAGAUAAGAACAAGAGGCUCACCACGGUGGUGCCGGCGACGAGAUCGGCGCAGGCGAUCAACGGUGGUGAAGACGGGGACGAGACAUGAUGGACCGAUAAACCUAUGCAAAUCUCAGGGAAAUGGAGCUUGGAGGUCGAGAUUCGGGAAGAGAAAGCUUAACUAGUGUGGCUCGGGCAUUUCAUCGAACACCUCAUGUGCAUAGGAGCUGAGCUAGAGAACCCAAAUGCCCUUCCCUCGCCGGCCAGAAAAAUAUAGCACUGGAGUGCUCUGCUGCGGCGAUGGGGUAUAUAUAGGCAGCUCAUUUGUCCCGGUUUAUGGCUAGAACCGUGACUAAAGCUCCACCUUGUUUCCCGGUUCGAGCCACAAACCGGGACCAAUGUAUGUGGUCCAGGAGCGAGGCCCAUUGGUCCCGGUUCGUGCCUGAUACGUCUCUGUCGUAUCUACUUUUCCAAACACUUUUGCCCUUGUUUUGGACUCUAACUUGCAUGAUUUGAAUGGAACUAACCCGGACUGACGCUAUUUUCAGCAGAAUUUCCAUGGUGUUAUUUAUGUGCAGAAACAAAAGUUCUCGGAAUGACCUGAAACUCCACGGAGAUUAUUUUUGGAAAUAAUAAAAAAUACUGGCAAAGAAUCAAGGCCAGGGGCCCACACCCUAGCACGAGGGUGGCAGGCGCGCCGGCCCCCUGGGCACGCCCCCCUGCCUCGUGGGCCCCCUGGAGCUCCACUGACCUCAACUCCAACUCCAUAUAUUCGUGUUCGGGGACAAAAAAAUAAAGAAGAAGGAUUCGUCGCGUUUUACGAUACAGAGCCGCCGCCAAGCCCUAAACUCUCUCGGGAGGGCUGAUCUGAAGUCCGUUCGGGGCUCCGGAGAGGGGAAUCCGUCGUUGUCGUCAUCAUCAACCAUCCUCCAUCACCAAAUUCAUGAUGCUCACCGUCAUGCGUGAGUAAUUCCAUCGUAGGCUUGCUGGACGGUGAUGGGUUGGAUGAGAUUUAUCAUGUAAUCGAGUUAGUUUUGUUAGGGUUUGAUCCCUAAUAUCCAGUAUGUUCUAAGAUUGAUGUUGCUAUGACUUUGCUGUGCUUAAUGCGUGUCACUAGGGCCCGAGUGCCAUGAUUUCAAAUCUGAACUUAUUAUGAAUAUAUGUGAGUUCUUCAUCCUAUCUUGCAAGUCUAUAGUCACCUACUAUGUGUUAUGAUCCGGCAACCCCGAAGUGACAAUAAUCGGGACCACUCCUGGUGAUGACCGUAGUUUGAAGAGUUCAUGUAUUCACUAUGUGUUAAUGCUUUGGUCCGGUACUCUGUUAAAAGGAGGCCUUAAUAUCCCUUAGUUUCCGCUAGGACCCCGCUGCCACGGGAGGGUAGGACAAAAGAUGUCAUGCAACUUCUUUUCCAUAAGCACGUAUGACUAUAUUCGAAAUACAUGCCUACAUUACAUUGAUGAAUUGGAGCUAGUUCUGUGUCACCCUAUGUUAUGACCGUUACAUGAUGAACCACAUCCGGCAUAAUUCUCCAUCACCGAUCCAAUGCCUACAAGCUUUCCAUAUAGUGUUCUUCACUUAUUUACUUUUUCAUUGCUAUUGUUACAAUCACUAUAAAACACCAAAAAUAUUACUUUUGCUACCAUUACCUUUUACUACCAUUACCACUACUAUCAUAGUAAUUACUUUGUUACUAAACACUUUGCUGCAGAUAUUAAGUUUCCAGGUGUGGUUGAAUUAACAACUCAGCUGCUAAUACUUGAGAAUAUUCUUUGGCUUCCCUUGUGUCGAAUUAAUAAAUUUGGGUUGAAUACUCUACCCUCGAAAACUGUUGUGAUCCCCUAUACUUGUGGGUUAUCAGUGCCUAGAACCGGGACAAAUGGGUCCAGACGAACCGGGACCAAUGCCCACGAGGCCCCGGCCGGCCCCCUGGGCUCACGAACCGGGACGUAUGCCCCAAUGGGUCCCAGUUCGUGACUGAACCGGGACUAAUGGGCUGGCCAGGCCCGAACCAAAGCCCUGUUUUCUACUAGUGCCUGCUACCUCCGGGGGAAAUCCUAGAGCGGAUGAUCGGAUGACGGCAGCGCUCUAGUGUCGCUCCCCCCUUGGGGGCGUCAUUCUUGGAGGUGCACACGUGAUCGAGGGAUCAGAGGACGGAUUCUUUGGUGGAGCAGUGUUUCAUAUCACUCGUUGAUGGCGGCGGAUCUCGGUGGCAUGGCGCUGUGUUGACUCGGCGUCCGAUGCGCGGAGAUGGACUCGCGGAGGAGGGUGAUGCGGUCUGGCGUCGCGGUGGCAUCGACGGCAGCUCGACCGGGCAAGGUAGAUGCAGCAGUAUAGUUCUGAAGAUGGAUUGGUGGCAGGUGGUUGCGGCGGCCUCAUACCCGGCAAACGUCCAGGUUGAGUGUGCCGAACCGGUGGGUGCCCCAUUCCCGGCAGGGGUUCUGAAUGGGACCUCAGGUCUUAGAUGGUAGGUUUGGCUGCGAGGUCUAUUUGGUAUUAGGCCCAGACUAUCAGCAUCCCUUCGUUAAUUGGAUAGGAGUAGCGACAGAUGUUGCCUAGACGGUGGCUUUAGUCUUACUGUUGUAUUACUUUGUAAGGUCUUGUGUGAACAAUUAAUAAAAUGACUGCAUACGUCGUCCAGAUGCAGUGGCCGGGGGUCUUCCUCCUUUUGUAAAAAAAAAUAGAAAAAAAUAGCCAGAUACUUAUUCAUAUAGCAGUAGCACACGAACAGAGUUGUACGAGUCUAAUAGACCAGAAUUAAGAGAGACACCUAGAUACCACAAGAGGUUUAGCAUCAUAUGUGUAACAAAGGAGUAGUAGUAUUAUUUAUUCAUAUAUCUACCUUACAGACAAGUUAUGAGAAAUGAUACAAACCCUUAGCUACAGAUAUAUCAUAUAUAUGCCUCCUCCCUCCAUGCUAGUAGCGAUAGGUUUGCUCUUACACUUUUUUUUGGAAUUUUCACCGGGGGGGAGGGGGGGAGUUUCCCCCACCUGGAUAUUGAUCAAAUGUGGGCUAGGAUCUCAGAUGUUUACACAGACGGAAUUUUCAGAGACAGGGGGAGAAACAAGACUAGGGAGCGAAAGCCCUUAGCCAGGAGUCGACAUCAGCUCGAUCAUCACGACGGAGGUGGACACGCCACAGCUCAGUGUCUUCCCUACAGCACCGCAGGGCCCUGGCCAUGGACGGAUCCCGUCGUUGGAAAACCACGGCGUUGCGUCACUUGCUGUCUCAGCCAGGGAGUUCAAGUGGCAAACCGAGGCCCCAUCAACGCACAUCCCGAUUUUUUACCAGAACGUGCCCGCGAAUGGACAGGAGAACAGCAAGUGGUCGGUUGUCUCGAGGGGGGCGGUGCAGAGAGGGCAGCCGGCCUCAUUCGCAGCGACGAUGCACUUCCGCAGCAGGACGUCGCGCGUGUGAAUGCGCCGCUGAACUAGCAGCUAGCAGAAGAACUUGAUUCGGGACGGCACAUGCGCACCCCAGAUCAUGGCAGCGUGCGGCGCGGUCACCCCGCCGAACCGCAGGAGGCUAUAGAUNNNNNNNNNNNNNNNNNNNNNNNNNNNNNNNNNNNNNNNNNNNNNNNNNNNNNNNNNNNNNNNNNNNNNNNNNNNNNNNNNNNNNNNNNNNNNNNNNNNNNNNNNNNNNNNNNNNNNNNNNNNNNNNNNNNNNNNNNNNNNNNNNNNNNNNNNNNNNNNNNNNNNNNNNNNNNNNNNNNNNNNNNNNNNNNNNNNNNNNNNNNNNNNNNNNNNNNNNNNNNNNNNNNNNNNNNNNNNNNNNNNNNNNNNNNNNNNNNNNNNNNNNNNNNNNNNNNNNNNNNNNNNNNNNNNNNNNNNNNNNNNNNNNNNNNNNNNNNNNNNNNCCUUUGUGGCGGUAAUUAGAAACAUCUUAGCUAGAGAGUCUCUCAGAGUGAAAAACACUAAGAACAUAUAGCAGUAGCAGGUAGAUACAGUUAUACCAGUCCAAUAAAGCAUAAUUAAUUAUAAGACUGACGCAUAAGCAAAGUUACUUGUUAUAAACAAAAUUACAUGUGGUUGAGCAAUCAAAUAGUCAAGGCCACAUAGACGCUUGUACAAUUCAGGAUCUCACACAUCAGCUAUCGGUUGCUUUCAACAAUAUGUCGUGAUUGAUUAAUAUAAGAGUCUUGCACCACAUCAGAAAUUAACUAUACUACUUGGCUGCCAAAUAUAGAAUCACUAUUCACUCACCAGUCGCGACGAGUCCUCGCGUCGCUCCCAGGGGGCGGCACGGCGAAUCCUAGCCGCCGCCGCCCCCGUUUUCCCCACCUCCACCCCAGCCCCCCUCGCCGCCGCCAGGUGAAUCUGACGGGCAAAGUCCGCUCGGCUUUCGGCGGCGGCGGGGACUUCUCCUCGCGAGACGCGUAGCAGCGGCCCUGGACGAUGCGAGGUGACUGGCGGCGGCGGCGGCCUCUCGCCGGCGUAGGCAAGCUGGGCCGGCAGCCCCGGGCAUGGUGGUGGCGUCGUUCUCUCUUCUCCUCCCUCCAUGUGGGUCGUGUGGGGUGGUGCUGGGCCAGCCGUCGUGGAUCUGGCGCCAGGAGGCCGGAUCCGUCGGUGGGGCUGCUGAGGCGUGUGCCUCCGGCGGCUGCAUGUCCGGCUGGUUGAGCUGCGGUGGUGGCGGCGUGCUACAGCUCCUGGAUGGCGGCGCGUCGACGCCGCGUAGGUGGAUUUGAUGCGGCGGUCGUGGGGAGCGGUCCCUGGCCUCUGGGGCGGUGUGUGCUCUGCCUGCUCCGGCCGUGCCGGCAGUGGAGAGGUGGUCCUGGCUGUUGGUGGCGGCUCCGGGUCGGUGUCGUGUGGCAUGGCCGCUGGUGCUUCCAGUGAGGGUGGUGGCUCCCUGGACGUGUCAAGGGCUGCGGCGCGAUGGGCUGUCCUCACGGCAGUAUGGUGAUGGUGGUUGUCGUGGGGCUCUGGACGAAAGUUCCUACCUGACUCGGUCGGUGCCGGUGACGGCGACGCUCUAUUGUGCCGUUUCCAUCUUGAUGGAAUCGUCGAGGAGCCCCGACCCGCCUCCAACCAAAGGAACCUCGUCUUCCGGGUGAAAACCCAGAUUUAGUUUGCUGGAUCUGAUGGCGGCGGCGUCUUAUUGGACGUCGUUUAUCUUUCUUGGAGGCGCCAUCUUUGGUGACGAGGUUCGGUUGGCGCUUGUAGCUUUUGCGCUUCUGGUGGUAUACCGAGACGAUGGAUGCCGGAGCGGUGGCUCCGGAUGGUGGAUGUAUGCCGAGGCAGCGGCCUCGGAUGGUCAUGCAACGGCGGUCCUAUGGGGUAGGUCCGCUGCUUUGCUUGGCAUGGGCGGCGACCUAGUGCUGCGAGGGCGGCCAGUUCGUCGGCUCGGUCGAUGCGAUCUGUGGAGUCGGUCUGGCUGGAAGUCGGGGAAGAACCCCGGAUGUUUGGUACGGCGUUCGUGGUCUGCGGGCGGUCGUCUCAUGUAGCAAGGGCUAUGAGGCACCUGAACCAUGCGGCGUUGUGGCUCACGUGCGGGCGGGGGAUGUCGGAGCGGCGGCUCCGGAGUUGGGGUGUGUGUGUUUGUUGCAAUGUUGCCUUAGGUUGUGUGGUCGGCAAGGGUUCGUUGUGUGUGCGGUUUUUCGGUCUGAUUUUCGUCAUAAACCGGGUCGCUCUAUUAGGUUUCCGGUCUGGUUUUCCUCAUAAACUGGAUCAAUUCUCUUCUUGUAUAAUGCAAAGCCAGAGCACCUAGCCCUCUGACGAGGUUCCAUAAAAAAACUUCGUUGCCAAUUGUUAUCACCCAUUGCAAUAACUUCAACUCUAUGCACAAGGACCCUAUAUAGAUCCAGUUUUUUCACCUUAACUCUAAAGAGUUUCUAGUAACUUACAUGAGCUAGUCCGCGUCUAGCUAUGUAACAUAGGUAAUCAUUACCUAGUUUAUCGAUCUCACUUUUGCAGAUUCCUAACUCACCUACUACCAUAAGCACUAGUAGUGGGGUACAAACCAUUAAUUAGUUCCAUAUAAUUGAACUUCCUCCUCCCAUUCCACUAGGUAUAGGGGCUUGUAUUCAUGCUUCAAUAGUUCCCGCUCAAAUAUCAUGUCUUAUCGCAACUCAGUUUGCUUUUCUUCUAGGUUAUUCAUUCACAUAGGAGGUGAUUGAUCGCUAAUGGCAAGCACAAAAAGAAAAGAAUCUUUCAGCUUGAACAAGAUGAAGGAACGAUUUUAGGACAUGAAAACCUAAAAUUAUACAUAACCGAAUACUACAAGUAGUUGUUUGGGCCUCCGGAGGAUAAUUGUGUAUCCCUAGAUGAGUCUAGGAUUGAGGAUGUUCCUUAACUGGCUGCAGAUGAGAAUGAUAUUUUGACUGCCCCAUUUUUGAAGAAAGAGGUGUUUGGAGCCAUUUCACAGAUGAAAAAUAAUAAUGCUCCAGGGCCGGAUGGAUUUUCGGCGGAGUUCUAUAAAAAGUGCUGGCAUAUUAUUAAGAAGGAUUUGAUACCAAUGUUCCAUGAUUUAUUCUCUUGACAGCUUUAGUUAUUUCACCUAAAUUUUGGAACGAUAACCUUGCUUCCUAAGAAAAUAGAGGAUGUGAGAAUUGAGCGGUUCAGGCUGAUCUGUCUUCUUAACGUUAGUUUUAAAAUUUUCACCAAGGUCAGGACUAAUAGGCUCACACAGAUUGCGCAUUCUGUGGUGCAGCACUCCCAAACUGCUUUCACGCCAGAUAGGAACAUCCUAGAAGGGGUUGUGGUCCUUCAUGAAACGCUCCACGAAAUGCACACGAAAAAACUAGAUGAAGUUGUUUUCAAGGUGGAUUUUGAGAAAGCGUACGAUAAAGUCAAAUGGCCUUUCUUUCAACAGGCCUUGCGCAUGAAAGGUUUUAAUGAUAAAAACUUCAAAAAAUAAAAUCCUUCGAGAUAUAGUUAUAUUACUACAUCUACUAGUUAGGAAAAUUAAAAAACUUAAAUUUGGACAUGUUUUGCAAAAAAUGCCAUGAAAAAGUAAAACGGCUAUAACUUUUGCAUAUGAUGUUGAAAAAAACGUAUAAUAUAUCAAAAUGUUCAGCACGAAAAUCCGCAUCCUUUUUUGAUGGCCUAUGGCCUGUUUGCAAAUUUUUAGAAUCCUCAAAUUCUAAAAGGAAAAAAAGAUAUGCUCAAAUUUCAGUUUUUUAUUUUUGUUAAACUGGUCAAACGAUGGGAAAACUACUUAUUCAAGAAGUAUUAGUGUUACUACAUAGUUAUUCAAGAAUGUUAGUGUUACUAAAUAAUUAUUUCAAUUUUUUGAAUUUUGAUCAAAUCUGGUCAAACUAUGGUCAAACUACUUAUUCAAGAAAUAUUAGUGUUACUAAAUAAUUAGUGUUUUUUAGAAUAAUAGUUUCAAACUCAAACAGUGAAACAUGUGACUUAAUGCUCAAGCUAAACUCCUGAGAGUUAAUAGGAUUGGCAUCUUACUAUUCUCAGAAAAACAACAAGUGCAGACUUGGAAACGAGGGGGAAUAGAACCCGGAAGUUAAGCGUGCUUAGGCUGGAGUAGUGAGAGGAUGGGUGACCGGCCGGGAAGUUAGAUGAUUUGGAAUGAUGAGGGGUGAUUAGAGAUUAGAGGUUAAAUUGAGCAGUGAUGAGGGGUGAUUAGAGAUUAAAUUUGAAAAUAGGGGAAAAAAUCAAAAAAAUCGUAGAAUUUCCUUUGGUGGAGCUUCAAAUAGCAGCCACAUGGAGGGUCUUUAGUCCUGGUUGGUAUAAGAACUGGGACUAAAGGGGGGGCUUUAGUCCCGACCCUUUACCGAGACUAAAGGCCCUGUAGUACCGGGACAAAUGGCCAUUUUUCUACUAGCACUAGGACUGGGGAGUUUAUGUUGGAAAUAUGCCCUAGAGGCAAUAAUAAAUUGAUUAUUAUUAUAUUUCCUUGUUCAUGAUAAUCGUUUAUUAUCCAUGCUAGAAUUGUAUUGAUAGGAAACUCAGAUACAUGUGUGGAUACAUAGACAACACCAUGUCCCUAGUAAGCCUCUAGUUGACUGGCUCGUUGAUCAAUAGAUGGUUACGGUUUCCUGACCAUGGACAUUGGAUGCCGUUGAUAACGGGAUCACAUCAUUGGGAGAAUGAUGUGAUGGACAAGACCCAGUCCUAAGCCUAGCACAAAGAUCGUGUAGUUCGUAUUCUAAAGCUUUUCUAAUGUCAAGUAUCAUUUCCUUAGACCAUGAGAUUGUGCAACUCCCAGAUACCGUAGGAAUACUUUAGGUGUGCCAAACGUCACAACGUAACUGGGUGGCUAUAAAGGUACACUACAGGUAUCUUCGAAAGUGUCUGUUGGGUUGGCACGAAUCGAGACUGGGAUUUGUCACUCCGUGUAAACGGGGAGGUAUCUCUGGGCCCACUCGGUAGGACAUCAUCAUAAUGUGCACAAUGUGAUCAAGGAGUUGAUCAUGGGAUGAUGUGUUACGGAAUGAGUAAAGAGACUUGCCGGGAACGAGAUUGAACAAGGUAUCGGGAUACCGACGAUCGAAUCUCGGGCAAGUAUCGUACCGCUAGACAAAGGGAAUUGAAUACGGGAUUGAUCGAAUCCUCGACGUCGUGGUUCCUCCGAUGAGAUCAUCGUGGAACAUGUGGGAACCAACAUGGGUAUCCAGAUCCCGCUGUUGGUUAUUGACCGGAGAACGUCUCGGUCAUGUCUGCAUGGUUCCCGAACUCGUAGGGUCUACACACUUAAGGUUCGAUGACGCUAGGGUUAUAAAGGAAGUUUGUAUGUGGUUACCGAAUGUUGUUCGGAGUCCCGGAUGAGAUCCCAGACAUCACGAGGAGUUCCGAAAUGGUCCGGAGGUAAAGAUUUAUAUAUGGGAAGUCCUGUUUUGGUCACCAGAAAAGUUUUGGGUUUUAUCGGUAACGUACCNNNNNNNNNNNNNNNNNNNNNNNNNNNNNNNNNNNNNNNNNNNNNNNNNNNNNNNNNNNNNNNNNNNNNNNNNNNNNNNNNNNNNNNNNNNNNNNNNNNNNNNNNNNNNNNNNNNNNNNNNNNNNNNNNNNNNNNNNNNNNNNNNNNNNNNNNNNNNNNNNNNNNNNNNNNNNNNNNNNNNNNNNNNNNNNNNNNNNNNNNNNNNNNNNNNNNNNNNNNNNNNNNNNNNNNNNNNNNNNNNNNNNNNNNNNNNNNNNNNNNNNNNNNNNNGGACAAACCCUAAGGGCAGAUGGGCCUUAGGGCCCAUGCCUGGUGCGCCUCCCUCUCCCCUCCACCUGGCCGCCACCCAGAUGGGAUAUAGGGGCUGCCGCCACCCCUAGGGAGGGAACCCUAGGUGGGGGCGCAGCCUCUCCCCUCCCCCUAUAUAUACCUGAGGUUUGGGCUGCCCAAAACACAAGAGUUCCUCUCCUUCUUGGCGCAGCCCUACCCCUCUCCCUCCUCGUCUCUUGCGGUGCUUCGCGAAGCCCUGCUGGAGUACCACGCUCCUCCACCACCACCACGCCGUUGUGCUGCUGCUGGAUGGAGUCUUCCUCAACCUCUCCCUCUCUCCUUGCUGGAUCAAGGCAUGGGAGACGUCACCGGGCUGUACGUGUGUUGAACGCGGAGGUGCCGUCCGUUCGGCACUAGGAUCUCCGGUGAUUUGGAUCACGACGAGUACGACUCCUUCAACCCCGUUCUCUUGAACGCUUCCGCUUAGCGAUCUACAUGGGUAUGUAGAUGCACUCUCCUUCCCCUCGUUGCUGGUUUCUCCAUAGAUAGAUCUUGGUGACACGUAGGAAAAUUUUGAAUUUCUGCUACAUUCCCCAACAGUGGCAUCAUGAGCUAGGUCUAUUGCGUAGAUUCUAUGCACGAGUAGAACACAAAGUAGUUGUGGGUGUUGAUUUUGUUCAAUAUGCUUACCGUUACUAGUCCAAUCUUGAUUCGGCGGCAUUGUGGGAUGAAGAGGCCCGGACCGACCUUACACGUACUCGUACGUGAGACUGGUUCCACCGACUGACAUGCACUAGUUGCAUAAGGUGGCUAGCGGUUGUCUGUCUCUCCCACUUUAGUCGGAUCGUAUUCGAUGAAAAGGGUCCUUAUGAAGGGUAAAUAGCAAUUGGCAUAUCAUGUUGUGGUUUUUGCGUAGGUAAGAAACGUUCUUGCUAGAAACCCAUAGCAGCCACGUAAAACAUGCAAACAACAAUUAGAGGACGUCUAACUUGUUUUUGCAGGGUAUGCUAUGUGAUGUGAUAUGGCCAAGAAGAAUGUGAUGAAUGAUAUGUGAUGUAUGAGAUUGAUCAUGUUCUUGUAAUAGGAAUCACGACUUGCAUGUCGAUGAGUAUGACAACCGGCAGGAGCCAUAGGAGUUGUCUUUAUUAAUUGUAUGACCUGCGUGUCAUUGAACAACGCCAUGUAAUUACUUUACUUUAUUGCUAACCGGUUGCCAUAGUAGUAGAAGUAAUAGUUGGCGAGCAACUUCAUGGAGACACGAUGAUGGAGAUCAUGAUGAUGGAGAUCAUGGUGGCAUGCCAGUGACAAGAUGAUCAUGGAGCCCCAAGAUGGAGAUCAAAGGAGCUAUAUGAUAUUGGCCAUAUCAUGUCACUAUUAUUUGAUUGCAUGUGAUGUUUAUCAUGUUUUUGCAUCUUGUUUACUUAGAACGACGGUACUAAAUAAGAUGAUCCCUCAUAAUAAUUUCAAGAAGGUGUUCCCCCUAACUGUGCACCGUUGCGACAGUUUGUUGUUUCGAAGCACCACGUGAUGAUCGGGUGUGAUAGAUUCUAACAUUCACAUACAACGGGUGUAAGACAGAUUUACACACGCGAAACACUUAGGUUGACUUGACGAGCCUAGCAUGUAUAGACAUGGCCUCGGAACACAAGAGACCGAAAGGUCGAGCAUGAGUCGUAUGGUAGAUACGAUCAACAUGAAGAUGUUCACCGAUGAUGACCAGUCCGUCUCACGUGAUGAUCGAACACGGCCUAGUUGACUCGGAUCAUGUAAUCACUUAGAUGACUAGAGGGAUGUCUAUCUGAGUGGGAGUUCAUAAGAUGAACUUAAUUAUCCUGAACAUAGUCAAAAGGUCUUCGCAAAUUAUGUCGUGGCUCGCGCUUUAGUUCUACUGUUUAGAUAUGUUCCUAGAGAAAAUUUAGUUGAAAGUUGAUAGUAGCAAUUAUACGGACUAGGUCCGUAAACUGAGGAUUGUCCUCGUUGCUUCAUAGAAGGCUUAUGUCCUUAAUGCACCGCUCAGUGUGCUGAACCUCGAACGUCGUCUGUGGAUGUUGCGAACAUCUGACAUACACAUUUUGAUAACUACGUGAUAGUUCAGUUAAACGGUUUAGAAUUGAGGCACCGAAGACGUUUUUGAAACAUCGCGAAACAUAUGAGAUGUUUCGAGGGCUGAAAUUGGGAUUUCAGGCUCGUGCCCACGUCAAGAGGUAUAAGACCUCCGACGAUUUUCUUAGCCCACAAACUAAGGGAGAAAAGCUCAAUUGUUGAGCUUGUGCUCAGAUUGUCUGAGUACAACAAUCAUUUGAAUCGAGUGGGAGUUGAUCUUCCAGAUGAGACAGUGAUGUUUCUCCGAACGCAUUACCACCAAGCUACUAGAGCUUCAUGAUGAACUAUAAUAUAUCAGGGACAUAUAUGAUGAUCCUUGGGAUAUUCGCGAUGUUUGACACCACAAAAGUAGAAAUCAAGAAGGAGCAUCAAUUGUUGAUGGUUGGUGAAACCACUAGUUUCAAGAAGGGCAAGGGCAAAAGGGGAUACUUCAUGAAAUGGCAAAUCAGCUGCUGCUCUGGUGAAGAAACCCAAGGUUGAACCCAAACCCGAGACUAAGUGCUUAUGUAAUAAGGGGAACAGCCACUGGAGCAGAAUUACCCUAGAUACUUGGUAGAUAAGAAGGCUGGCAAGGUCGAUAGAAGUAUAUUGGAUAUACAUUGUGUUGAUGUGUACUUUACUAGUACUCCUAGUAGCACCAGGGUAUUAGAUACCGGUUCGGUUGCUAAGUGUUAGUAACUCGAAAUAAAAGCUACGGAAUAAACGGAGACUAGCUAAAGGUGAGAUGACGAUAUGUGUUGGAAGUAUUUCCAAGGUUGAUCAAAUAUCGUACGCUCCCUCUACCAUCAAGAUUGGUGUUUGCGUUGAGCAUAGACAUGAUUGGAUUAUGUCUAUCACAAUACGGUUCUUCAUUUAAGGAGAAUAAUGGUUACUCUGUUUAUUUGAAUAAUACCUUCAAUGGUCUUGCACCUAAAAUGAAUGGUUUAUUGAAUCUCAAUCGUAGUGAUACACAUGUUCAUGCCAAAAGAUAUAAGAUAGUAAAUGAUAGUACCACCUACUUGUGGCACUGCCACGUAAGUCAUAUCGGUAUAAAACGCAUGAAGAAGCUCCAUGUUGAUGGAUCUUUGGAUUCACUCGUUUUAAAAGGUUUGAGACAUGCGAACCAUGUCUAUUGGUGUAUAUGCAUGAAGAAACUCCAUGCAAAUGGACUGUUUGGACUCACUUGAUUUUCAAUCACUUGAGACAUGCAAAUCAUACCACAUGGGCAAGAUGACUGAAAGCCUUGUUUUCAGUAAAAUGGAACUAGAAAGCAACUUGUUGGAAGUAAUACAUUUUGAUGUGUGCAGUCCAAUGAGUGCUGAGCCGUGUAGUGGAUAUCGUUAUGUUCUUACUUCACAGAUGAUUUGAGUAGAUGUUGAGUACAUUUACUUGAUGAAUCACGAGUCUGAAUUAUUGAAAGGUUCAAGUAAUUUCAGGGUGAAGUUGAAAGAUCGUCGUGACAAGAGGAUAAAAGAUCUAUGAUAUGAUCAUAGAGAUGAAUAUCUGAAUUACGAGUUUGGCACAGAAUUAAGACAUUGUGGAAAUUGUUUCACAACUAAUACAGCCUGGAACACCAUAGUGUGAUGGUGUGUCCGAACAUCAAAACUGCACCCUAUUGGAUAUGAUGCAUACCAUGAUGUCUCUUAUCGAAUUACCAUGAUAGUUUAUGGGUUAGGCAUUAGAGACAACCACAUUUACUUUAAAUAGGGCAUCACAUAAGUCUGAUGAGAUGACACCAUAUGAACUAUGGUUUAGAGAAACCUAGGCUGUCAUUUCUUAAAAGUUUGGGGCUGCGACGCUUAUGUGGAAAAGUUUCAGGCUGAUAAGCUCGAACCCAAAGCGGAUAAGUGCAUCUUCAUAGGACACCCAAAACAGUUGGGUAUACCUCCUGUCUCAGAUCCGAAAGCAAUAAGGGAUUGUUUCUAGAAUCGGGUCCUUUCUGGAGGAAAAGUUUCUCUCGAAAGAAUUGAGUGGGAGGAUGGUGGAGACUUGAUGAGGUUGUUGAACCGUCUCUUCAACUAGUGUGUGGCAGGGCACAGGAAGUUGUUCCUGUGGCACCUACACCAAUUGAAGUGGAAGCUUAUGAUAGUGAUCAUGAAACUUCAGAUCAAGUCACUACCAAACCUCGUGGGAUGACAAGGAUGCGUACUACUUCAGAGUGGUACGUAAUCCUGUCUUGGAAGUCAUGUUGCUAGACAACAAUGAACCUACGAGCUAUGGAGAAGUGAUGGUGGGCCCGGAUUCCGAUAAAUGGCUCGAGGCCAUAAAAUUCGAGAUAGGAUCCAUGUAUGAAAACAAAGUGUAGACUUUGGAAGAACUACUUGAUGGUCGUAAGGCUGUUAGGUACAUAUGGAUUUUAAAAGGAAGACGGACAAUGAUUGUAAGUAUCACCAUUAAGAAAGCUCGACUUGUCGUUAAGAUGUUUUCCGACAAGUUCAAGGAGUUGACUACGAUGAGACUUUCUCACUCGUAGCGAUGCUAAGAGUCUGUUGGAAUUAUAUUAGCGAUUACUGCAUUAUUUAUGAAAUCUUGCAGAUAGGAUGUCAAAACAUUGUUUCCUCGACGAUUUUCUUGAGGAAAGGUUGUAUGUGAUACAACCGGAAGGUUUUUUCAAUCCUGAAAGAUGCUAAUAAGUAUGCAAAGCUCCAGCAAUCCUUCUAAGGACUGGAGUAAGCAUCUCGGAGUUGGAAUGUAUGCUUUGAUGAGAUGAACAAAGAUUUUGGGUGUAUACAAAGUUUAUGAGAAACUUGUAUUUCCAAAGAAGUGAGUGGGAGCACUAUAGAAUUUCUGAUGAAUAUAUGUUGUUAACAUGUUGUUGAUCGGAAAUGAUGUAGAAUUUCUAGAAAGCAUGCAGAGUUAUUUGAAAAGUGUUUUUCAAUGGAAAGCCUGGAUUAAGCUACUUGAACAUUGAGCAUCAAGAUCUAUACGGAUAGAUCAAAACACUUAAUGGUACUUUCAAAUGAGCACAUACCUUGACAUGAUCUUGAAGGUGUUCAAGAUGGAUCAGUCAAAGAAGGAGUUCUUGCCUGAGUUGUAAGGUAUGAAGUUAAGACUUAAAGCUCGACCACGGCAGAAGAAAGAGAAAGGACGAAUGUCGUCCCCUAUGCUUUUGUCAUAGGCUCUAUACGGUAUGCCAUGCUGAGUACCGCACCUGAUGUGUGCCUUGCCACAUGUCUGGCAAGAGGUUACAAAGGUGAUCCAGGAGUGGAUCACCAGAUAGCGGUCAAAAUUGUCCUUGGAGUAAUAAGGACAUGUUUCUCGAUUAUGGAGGUGAUAAAGAGUUCGGCGUAAAGGGUUACAUCGAUGCAAGCUUUAACACCUAUCCGAAUGACUCUGAGUGGCAAACCGGAUACGUAUAGUGGAGCAACCAUUUGGAAUAGCUCCAAGUGGAGCGUGGAAGCAGCAUUUAUAAUAUGACCUAGAGAUUUGCAAAGUACAUACGGAUCUGAAUGUUGCAGACCCGUUGACUAAAACCUCUCUCACAAGCAAAACAUGAUCAAACCCAGAACUCAUUGAGUCUUAAUCACAUGAUGAUGUGAACUAGUUUAGUGACACUAGUAAACUCCUUGGAUGUUGGUCACAUGGCGAUGUGACCUGUGAGUGUUAAUCACAUGGCGAUGUGAACUAGAUUAUUGACUCUAGUGCAAGUGGGAGACUGUUGGAAAUAUGCCCUAGAGGCAAUAAUAAAUUGAUUAUUAUUAUAUUUCCUUGUUCAUGAUAAUCGUUUAUUAUCCAUGCUAGAAUUGUAUUGAUAGGAAACUCAGAUACAUGAGUGGAUACAUAGACAACACCAUGUCCCUAGUAAGCCUCUAGUUGACUAGCUCGUUGAUCAAUAGAUGGUUACGGUUUCCUGACCAUGGACAUUGGAUGUCAUUGAUAACGGGAUCACAUCAUUGGGAGAAUGAUGUGAUGGACAAGACCCAAUCCUAAGCCUAGCACAAAGAUCGUGUAGUUCGUAUGCUAAAGCUUUUCUAAUGUCAAGUAUCAUUUCCUUAGACCAUGAGAUUGUGCAACUCCCGGAUACCGUAGGAAUACUUUGGGUGUGCCAAACAUCACAACAUAACUGGGUGGCUAUAAAGGUACACUACAGGUAUCUCCGAAAGUGUCUGUUGGGUUGGCACGAAUCGAGACUGGGAUUUGUCACUCCCUGUAAACGGGGAGGUAUCUCUGGGCCCACUCGGUAGGACAUCAUCAUAAUGUGCACAAUGUGAUCAAGGAGUUGAUCACGGGAUGAUGUGUUACGGAACGAGUAAAGAGACUUGCCGGGAACGAGAUUGAACAAGGUAUCGGGAUACCGACGAUCGAAUCUCGGGCAAGUAUCGUACCGCUAGACAAAGGGAAUUGAAUACGGGAUUGAUCGAAUCCUAGACAUCGUGGUUCGUCCAAUGAGAUCAUCGUGGAACAUGUGGGAACCAACAUGGGUAUACAGAUCCCGCUGUUGGUUAUUGACCGGAGAACGUCUCGGUCAUGUCUGCAUGGUUCCCGAACCCGUAGGGUCUACACACUUAAGGUUCGAUGACGCUAGGGUUAUAAAGGAAGUUUGUAUGUGGUUACCGAAUGUUGUUCGGAGUCCCGGAUGAGAUCCCGGACAUGACGAGGAGUUCCGAAAUGGUCCGAAGGUAAAGAUUUAUAUAUGGGAAGUCCUGUUUUGGUCACCGGAAAAGUUUCGGGUUUUAUCGGUAACGUACCGGGACCACCGGGAGGGUCCCGGGGGUCCACCAAGUGGGGCCACAAGCCCCGAGGGCUGCAUGGGCCAAGUGUGGGAGGGGACCAGCCCCAGGUGGGCUGGUGCGCCCCCCCACAAGGGCCCAAGGCGCCUAAGGGGAGGAAGGGGGCAAACCCUAAGGGCAGAUGGGCCUUAGGGCCCAUGCCUGGUGCGCCUCCCUCUCCCCUCCACCUGGCCGCCACCCAGAUGGGAUCUGGGGGCUGCCGCCACCCCUAGGGAGGGAACCCUAGGUGGGGGCGCAGCCCCUCCCCUCCCCCUAUAUAUACUUGAGGUUUGGGCUGCCCAAAACACAAGAGUUCCUCUCCUUCUUGGCGCAGCCCUAUCCCUCUCCCUCCUCGUCUCUUGCGGUGCUUGGCGAAGCCCUGCUGGAGUACCACGCUCCUCCACCACCACCACACCGUUGUGCUGCUGCUGGAUGGAGUCUUCCUCAACCUCUCCCUCUCUCCUUGCUGGAUCAAGGCAUGGGAGACGUCACCGGGCUGUACGUGUGUUGAACGCGGAGGUGCCGUCCGUUCGGCACUAGGAUGUCCGGUGAUUUGGAUCACGACGUGUACGACUCCUUCAACCCCGUUCUCUUGAACGCUUCCGCUUAGCGAUCUACAAGGGUAUGUAGAUGCACUCUCCUUCCCCUCGUUGUUGGUUUCUCCAUAGAUAGAUCUUGGUGACACGUAGAAAAAUUUUGAAUUUCUGCUACGUUCCCCAACAGUUUACAGAUAAAUCAAUGUAUCUCGAUGUUAUUAACUGUAGUUCCAUUCCUAGUUCCAAACAUGUUUGGAAAGUCAAAGUUCCUUUGAAAAUUAAAGUGUUUAUGUGGUUUGUACAUAAACAAGUCAUCUUAACCAAGGACAAUCUGGCAAAGCGUAACUGAACAUGACCUACUAGAUGUAGUUUUUGUGAUCGGGAUGAAAUUAUCAAACACUUUUUUCUUGACUGCCCGCUGGCAAGAGUGCUAUGACGGACGGUGCACAUAGCCUUUAAUAUUACUCCUCCGAUUUGUGUCAGCACGUUAUUUGGAACGUGGCUUAACAGGAUAGAAGCCGAAACGGCGAGACACAUUCGCGUAGGAGUAUGUGCUUUAUUGUGGGCAGUCUGGAACCGAGAAAUGAUUUGGUUUUUAACAGAACAACAAAUAUUCAUUUUUUUUGCAGGUUAUCUUCCGAGCCACUGCGUUGAUCCGUAUGUGGUCGCUACUCACUCCGACGGAGGCCAGGGAGCGUUUGGUUACUUGAUUUAUCCGGUGGGAGAUGGUAGCACGGGAUAUUUUCAACUGGUUUGGAUGGCCGUCAUGUAAUAGGAUAGGCAAUUAGUUUCCCUAUCUUUCCUAUGCCAGCCGGCUGUGGCUUUUUGGCUACUUUUUUUGGCUCUUUAUGAGCUUUUCUCUACUUUUUUUUUAGACUUUAAGACCUUCGUUGAACAUAUUUGCUUAUUCAUUAAGUUGACCAUAUGCAUCGUUCUGAUGCAGAGCCUGAGGAGUCUCUCCUUUUCGAAAAAAAAACAUAGGAGGUGUUUCGGAGCUCCUAAAAACACACCUCAAGUUUGGUGCGACUUUUGAACAUUUUACAUUGAAAACAUGUGGUCAUUUCAUGUCGCCAAGGCAAACUAUAUUGGCCACCUGAAUUUGAUAAAUGUUCUAUAUUUAUUUCUAUGAACAAGGACGGCGGAUGCAUGAUGAGCACAACAACUGCAAUCCAGAUUAGCAGUAAGACGCUCACAACAUAGAUCGGGUAACUAGGACGAACUUGGUUACAGAAUCUCUUAAGAGUGAGUAAUACUAAUUACAUAUAGCAGUAAGCAGGUGAACAGAGUUGUACCGUUGGAUGAGUUGAAUUAAGAGCGGUGCCCAAACAAAGUUACAUCUUUUAAUAGCUUUUAUGAAGAGAUUGAGAAAGCAGAGAGUCAUCACCACAUAAACUUGAAUAAUUCUGGGUCUCGCACAUUAGCCGCUAGCUGCACUCAACAUAUGUUGUGACUGAUUAAUAUAUGGGAAGCGUGCGCCACACCUUGAAUUCAUAAUAAUACGUACUUCGUUCUCAAAUGUUAUUGCCCGUCACAAUUUUCUUGGAUAAGAAUGGAAUGGCCCCGGCCUCUAUCUAUUAUUCAACUCUAUGGAUAAAUCAGUAGGUGCAGAUUCUCUAGCAGCUUAUUGAGAAGUUAGUUUGUGUAUAUCUAUGUACCAUCAAGCGUCAUUAACUAAUUUAUUCACCUCAUCUUUAUGGAGUCAUUCACCUAUCUACCUUAGGGCCGGGUAAUGAGAGAGGGCACAAAGCCUUAGCCGAUAUAUAUUAAACUUCUUCCUCCCAUGCCACUAGGUACAUGUUUGCCCUCAUAUGACCGCAGUUCCCACUCAAUACCAUGACUUAUCAUGUCCUCAUUUCCUUGGCUUCUUGGUUGUUCAUAGGCAUAGGACGUAUCUGGAAUCUCCCAAAAACAUCUAUGGUAGCGGCUGCAACUUUCAUGAGCCACUUUAGUUGUCUGUAGCGCCUCAUAGCUACAGCUGCUGCUUGCUUCGCAUCAGCUCCACAGAGAGUCAGUCGCUAGUUAUUCAUGGCUUCAUGCGUUGCUAGUUUCAUGUGAUGGGUGCAGUUGAACUCUGCAUACCAACAUCGACGUACUUCUUUAUUUCUUUUGUCUAUCAUGGUAAACAAAAGCUUGAUGUACUCGAUAAGCCCCCUUCCUGGAGACGCCGCCUUGGAGCCCAUGCAUGGUUCGUCAUGCUCGGCUUCGUCUCAUUGUGGUGGCAUGUCAAGGAAUGAGGCCCCCGGCAUCUCCUUAGUGAUGUUUAGUUGUCGGUCUGGAGCUAUUUGAGGUUGUGUAGCUGUUUUCACCGCCUUUAUAUCCUGUCAUAGUUGUGUGCGUUGUGGUGGCUUGUGUUUGUAUCGGUGUGUUUGCAUCGGCUGGCCUGAUGAUUGUUGCUUUAUAUAUAAAGUUGAGAGAAAUCCUUUUUUGGUAACACUAUUCGAAUAGGUAGGAUCGCCGAGUGCCGGGCUGUUUGACGACUGCUUUCUGUCCGACAAUCGGCAAAGGCCCUCCUAAACCGAGUGUGAAGGAAAAACUUUCGGCAUUGCAUAUCUAAAGAGUGCUGCUAUGCACACGAUGAUGUUCAAACGAUCUGUGGACGACAGCGUAUAUCGGUCCGUCUACGUAUAGCAGUCAAGUGCCACCGACGGCUGGAUCAGGCAUCGUCCCGCUGUCGUGCAUGUUGUGUCGUUCGCACAGCAGUUCCGAUAUCUAAACACACUCGGCAAAGAUCCUGGCACUCGGUAAAACCAGGUGACACAUGUCCCUGUUAAUCAUGGUUAACGGGGGUGACGGCGCGGCCGUGUCUGCCGAUUGCCUAUCAGGUGGCACCUGACAAAUAUUUUUUGCUGAUCUACUUCCUCCGUUCUUAAAUAUAAGUCUUUGUAGAGAUUUCACUAUGAACAACAUACGGAUGUAUAUAGAUGCAUUUUAAGUAUAGAUUCACUCAUUUCGCUUCAUAUGUGCUCCAUAGUGGAAUCCUCCAAAGACUUCUAUUUAGGAAUGGAGGGAGUGUAUUCUUUGUUGAAUGGCUGACAACAAGCACUCUCCAAACAUGAUCCAUCUAUUUGUGGUUUUAUUCUGUGUACUCAGAAAAGAUAGCUAUAUCAUCAAGUGUACUAAGAUUUUACCCAAAUUUGGGCACUCUGAAAGGAACCUAAGGAAAUACAAGAACUUUGAAAUUGCAUGAUAAGUGGAACAGGGUGGUUGAACUGAAAGAAAUGAAGGCAUGCCUUCAUAUGUUAACUAUGACACUCGGCAAAGUGCACACAUUGCAGCCACUCGGCAAAGUGCACACAUUGCAGCCACUCGGCGUGCCAACGAAGGAAGGCGAUCUGGUGCUCCAUUGCCGGCGUCUCGAUCAACAGCUUGUGGCUGUCCCUCGGCCGCUUGGACGGGUCGGUGUGGCGGCAGCGCUCCAUGGCCGGUGCGGGCGCCGGUGGCGUGGGGAAGAAAAGAUGGGAGCGAACCGGGCCAUGGCCGGCAGCAGAGCCGCGCCCCACCAUUGACGAUCUGCCGCCCUGGGAGUUGCGAGGAUCUUUGGGGCAGUCGCGGGCAAUGUGGCCUAGGAGCUUGCACCCGAUGCAGUGGAUUGAAUCUCUACAGUCUACACGGCGAUGCUCUGAGCUUAGACACCGGAAGCAGAGCCCCUUGAAACGCCUUAAAAAGGCCUUGCGCCCGGCGCUCGCAUUGAAGUUGGGUCGGUGGCAUUGACGCCGGCGCGGCCAUCCGCCGGAAAAUGUGUGCGCGCUGGCCUGGCGCGCGUUGCGGGACUGGACCUCUAUCCUGACAUUAUCAUAGCCCGAGGAGGAGGGGCAGGCGCAGGGAGACGGUCUAACUACGAUGGACUUUAGGCGAGGAUGCCCAGAAUGGCGAAGCCCUGCAAUGUCCGGAGCGGCGAGGUCGGCUGCGGCCUUGGAGCACUCACCUCGCAGCAGGAUUUCCAGCUAAGGGCCGGGAGAGCCGUUGGUGAGUUGGGAGACGGCGGGUUGCCCGGAUCUGCCAAUGGACUGCUGGGCAGAACGGAAUCUGGGACAGACAUGGGGCGGCCCCAUCCCUAAGUACAUCUUUUUUUUUUUUUGAGGGGGAUCCCUAAGUACAUCUAUGUCUCGCGUCGUAUACAAAUUGCAUAGGUGCUGGGCCGGCCCAUUAAGCCACCACGUUCAAUAUAAGCGCAGCCUAAAAAUACAGGUAAAAUGGAGAGAUUAUAUGAGGAUUUGAAAUCAAGACCUCCCACUAAACAACACAUGACGAUAGCCACUUCAACCAACCACUGCCUGUGUUAUGUUCCAGCGAGAAAUAUCUAAGAAAACACAGUAGCAUACAUAUAUAUGAAAUAUUUUCUGAAAAAAUCUGAAACUUUUAUUAAAAAAAACACGAACAAUUUUAAAAUGCCGAAAAGUUUUGGAAUUUGUGAACGAAAUUUCAGCAAUUUUAUUUUGAAAGUGAACAAAAUUUCGAAACACAAACAAUUUCCGAACAUAUUUCGAAACAUGAAGANNNNNNNNNNNNNNNNNNNNNNNNNNNNNNNNNNNNNNNNNNNNNNNNNNNNNNNNNNNNNNNNNNNNNNNNNNNNNNNNNNNNNNNNNNNNNNNNNNNNNNNNNNNNNNNNNNNNNNNNNNNNNNNNNNNNNNNNNNNNNNNNNNNNNNNNNNNNNNNNNNNNNNNNNNNNNNNNNNNNNNNNNNNNNNNNNNNNNNNNNNNNNNNNNNNNNNNNNNNNNNNNNNNNNNNNNNNNNNNNNNNNNNNNNNNNNNNNNNNNNNNNNNNNNNNNNNNNNNNNNNNNNNNNNNNNNNNNNNNNNNNNNNNNNNNNNNNNNNNNNNNNNNNNNNNNNNNNNNNNNNNNNNNNNNNNNNNNNNNNNNNNNNNNUUCAGAAAUAUUAUUUUAAUAUUGUGAACUUUGUUUUCAAAUUUCUGAACGUUUUUACACAUCCAAAAACUAAUUUCAACUUUAUGAACUUUUUCCAGUGCCUGGGAUUUUUUUUUAAUUGUGAACAUUUGUUUUUGAAAUUCAUGAUUUUUUUUCAAAUCCAUGAAUGCUUGGGCAAGCCCAGCAGCCAGCCGACAGGAGAGAUGCCAUUAUCUAGUUGGGCUAAAGCCUAAGAUUUUUUUUAUUUUCUAUUUUUCAUUAAAUAUUUUUCUCCUUUUCGAAACCUAUCAAAAAAAUUUGAAAUAUUUUUGUAAUGCCAAAAAUGUUCAUAUUUUCAAACAGUGUUCACAAUUUUUAAAAAUAUUCUGAAAUUAAAAAAUUUGUUCAUGUUUUCAUUUUUUGUUCACAAAUUUAUGAAAUGUUUGCAAUUUGUGGAUAAUAUCAAUUGUUGGGAAUUUUUCCACAAUUUUAGAAAAAGUGUUCAAGUUUAUAAAAUUUUCAUACACAACUUGGAAUUCCAUAGUUGUUCACUAAUUUCAAUAGAUUGUUAGGAUAUGGAGAAUGUUCAUGUUCAUAGAUAAUACCAAAAAAUGGAAAUAACAGAGGCAUUCUUUAUUAGAAACUACAUGCUCACUGAUGCACCCGGUUGGCCUAGUCUAGCACACUCUUCUCAAUAGGUGUUUAUUUUCUAAGGAUGAAUGACCCCAACUUCUUACAACAGCCUGACACGGAUAUAUGAAACAUCCAUGUCAGGUUUGAACAACAUCUGACACUGUUUGCAUGUUGUGACACAUCUGCCCAUUUAUCAACCCUUUUCACUGAGAAAACACUAGAAAAUGCAAAACUAGUUAAAAGUACAAACAAUUUGGCACGAUGCAUUGAAUUUAUCAUAGAAGCUGGUGGGAAAAAAAUUAGAGUCAUUCAACGGAUGUCGAAAACCAAUGUGCUUUCAAAAAGACCCUUCUCAUGGAGAUGGUGCAGUUUACAAGAGACCUCCGGUUAGGCUUUGGCGAAACGCGUUAAAACUUUCACCGCCCCCCUACAAGGGCCAUAUGAUGACACCGUGCCAAGUCCCGAGGAUUUCGGGCAUCGUAUGAUUUUUGGUUGAUUUUAACAGCUGGAUCUGGAAUGCCGCCUAGGUACAUUCGCCUCCGGGUGGUGGGGCAUGCCCCUCCUUUGGUUGCAUUAGGCCUACACAUACCACAAAGACAUCAUAUAUGUUUUGAAAAACCACUUCUAGACGGGCCCGAAAAAUGCCAUGUACUGACACGUGUCAUGCAAUUGCCCCCUUUGAGAGGACGAGAAGUUUCGAGGUCAAUGGAGCAACGGGCAACACACUUCCUUCACAAAUUGGACACGCACUCUCUCGAUAGCCGGAUACUACCUCGGAGAUGGUGCAGUUUACAAGCGACCUCCGGUCAGGCUUCUACGAAACACGCUAAAACUUUCAUCACACCCUACAAGGUCCAUAUGACGACACCGUGCCAAGUCCCGAGGAUUUCCGGUAUUGUAUGACGUUUGGUCGAUUUUAACGGCUGGAUCCGGCAUGCCGCCGAGGUACAUUCCCCCCGGUGGUGGGGCCUGUCCCUCCUUUGGUGUCGUCGGUCGAUGGUGAGGAACAUCGCAUGUGUUGUCGUCGACGGUGACGGGGAGAGCCGAAGAGAUGUUCCGUGCGACUGUCCGUAGGUCCCCGUCCGAACUCAUAGUCGUCAUACCGAACACACCAUUCCCCGAUCCAUUCCCUCCCCACCUCACCAGACCAUCUCCUCCUCGCCGCCCUCCUCUCCCCUCACGGAUCAUCGACGGUCGGUGCAAGAGAGUAGAAAAAAUUAGAAGAAAAACAAAAGGGAAAACACAAUUGUAUGAGCUUCAUUUCUAUUGGUGGAAAAGUUUGUGCGACGGAUCGAUGACGUGGCGCAUAUCCAUCCAUCUAUCCACCUAGUUGUCCACCCCACAACCUUCCAUCCAUCCAUCUAGAGAAAAGGAGAGAAAAAAGAAAAAAAAGAAAAAAGAGCCCACCCAACCCCUACCUCGCUCUCUCCCCACGAACCUCUCUGUCUCUCGCGACCCCUCUCACCCCACGAGCCUCUCUCCCUCGCGCCGCCGCCACCCACGCCGGCCAGUUCCGGCGAGCUCCGGCGGCGCGCAGCACACCCCGAGCUCCCCUAGGUCCGCUCCACCUCCCCCUACGUCCAGAAUCGGCGCUCCCGCCGUCCACCGUCCCCGUGGCUAGCUAGGGUUUUGGCCGCCACAUCUAACAUCGCUAGGAUCAGCCACAUCCGGCGACAGCGAGGCUAGAGCUCGACGGAUCCAUUACCGGCGUGGCACAGGUACGUCCUUCCCCUCUUUCCUCGCCCGGAUCCACCCUCCCCACCGCACCUUCUCCUUUCCUUCCCUUCCUGCAGGUCACCUUGGCGCGGUCUGGAUGACGACGACGGCAGGAGGGCGCCGUCCUUCCUACUCGAGGAAGUGGAGGACGAGGGGUACACCUAGCUGUCAGCCCUGUCCUUUAUUUAGAAUCCUGGUUCUUUAGUUAGAUAGUACCAAUAGGGAUUGGUUAAUUUUUCUGCUACAACUCAAACGAAGAUGAGGAGCGAGGUGUGAGUAGAAGGUGAUGAAAGUCGACGCAACGCUGAGCCAAACCCACUCCUUACCGACGCAACCAAGCUGUGGUUCUCUUAAGUCACGAAGCUGGAUAUAUCCUUCACCGGUAGCUAGUUUGAUCUAUCCUGAUGGACAAUCUAACAUACAUAGCAGUAGUUGCUUUUUUAUCAUUCCCCCACCGGCCAGAGCACAAUGUACACACACAGAGAGGAAAUCUCUAGUUAGCUUUUUUUUUAUUUUGUCCCCUAAUUAGAAGAAACUACUCAUUCUUACUCCCAGCAAGUGGGGCUGGCAGUAUCAUCCUUGAUCUAUAUUUUUUGGAUGGUUAGUCAAAGAGCACGUGAUUAAUAAAUUAGAGGAAAUGCAGGUUACUUUGUUGUUUCCCCUAGAUCUGUUCUGACGAACAUGCAUAUGCAUCACACUAAUCUGCUUCAUCAUAAUUAUUGAAUCCAAGCAUGUAAGUCGCCAUAGCAUUUGCACAUCAAUCCAGAAAUGUUUCAUUACUCAAGUUUCUACUUUUAGUUUUAGGGCCAUUUGCAUUUCUGUCACUAACUCGAACCACCUAAUCAGAUAUACUCCUAAUUUGAAAGUUUGCUCAAAUUUGUCCCUCCGCCGUUUGGUGUCCUUAUAGAAAUGCCCUUCUGCGCCGUUAACGUGCGGUCAAACAGCUUUGACCGUCCUAAAAAAUAUAGCAAAAAAAUCUAAAAAAUCUAAAAUUUUGUGAGAUUGAAGAUACUCAUGUGCCCAAGGUGUGUGCAAAUUUUCGUGCUAUUUGGACAUUCCAGGAGCUCGUGGCGAGGAAAAAUAGUUAAUCUGCACAUUUGUGAACAAUAAAUUUGAAAUAAAAUAGCAAGAAAAUUAAAAAAAUAUGAAAAAAUUUGGCAUCAAAGUGGCUUGGGUGCACAAGGUGCUUGCAAGUUUUUGUGAUCAAAUGACAUGUGAGGAGCUCUAGCAAGAAAAAACAAAAUAGUCAUUUUUUCCCAAGUUUUUUUCCGAGCAAAAUUUUGUUUUUUUCUCCACAAGCCCCUUCAAUGUCCAAACACAACAAAAAUUUGCACGCAACUUGCAGACCCGAGCCUCUUUGAUACCAAAAAAUUUUAUAUUUUUUUGAAUUUUCUUGCUAUUCACUACAGGAAACGGGUAAUUUGCCGUAUGUGGAUCACAGACGGCAAAGAUUUUGCCGUCUGAAAGUAGACGGCAAACUCAGACGGCAAAGACUUUGCCAUCAGCCAAAUUUACUUCGCCGCCAACCUUAUAAAUAAGAGACGGCAAAGAAUGCGGUCUUUGCCGUCAGUCAAAACAUUUUCUUUGCCGUCAUCAAGACUAAACUAAAGAUAGCAAAGAUUGCUUAUAUUUUUUUAAAUAACAUCAGUCGAAGCGUUCAGAGGGCGGCCACUGCUGCUUUGGCGAGCAAGCCAUUCUUCGGCGUCAUUACAGAGAUUUGCAAUACAGAUCCAAUGAAAAUGAAUGUAUAUUUCUUUAACAAAAAAACGGAUUUACAAGCUAGCCAUUCUUCACAUGUAUACAUACGAGCAAGAAUAUCCUACGAGUAGCAAAUUCUAAGUGUUCUCCACAUCAGAUUCACACACGGACAAGUGCCAGAAUACAUCAAAUUCAGAUCCACUUAAAAUGCAUCAAGAAAGCAACACACACAUUGCUAGCAUGGGCAGCCUAGAUCCAUCGGGAAGUUGCAGCGCUGCAACCAAACCAAAUGUGUACAGGGCCCCUGUCACAGCCAGCAAGCAUACUAGAGGCAGCAACAGUGCGACGAGGACGGGCAUGCCAACGCGCUGGUGGCGGGGUCCGAAAGCGGAGGCCGGCUUGGGCAGGAGCAGCGACGCGGCUGGGGCGAGAGUCAUUGCCGAACCUGCUGCUGGGGCGGCACACACCGGCAGAUGGAUCUAGCACGCGGGCGGCUCAAGCGGCCACGCACAUGAAUCCUUGGGGCGGCGAUGCGGUUGACGUCGGGUGGCGCGAAGCUCCGCGGCCGUCCAUGGAGUCGGGUGCCUGAGAGGGAGAGGGCAAGGGAUGAUGCAUAGGGGAUAGAUAGAGAACGAGGAAUAUAGGCAGGAGGAAGGAGACGGAGCUAGGAGCAGCGGAGCUUGAGACGGAGCUAGGAGCAGCGGGAGGUAGAAGUGGAUCUCGGCUGGGAGGGAGCAGAGGCGUGGGGGACGGGAGAGAGACAAGAGGAUAAGGGAGACAGAGAAGAGGAUAAGAGGUGGAGGUGGAUCGUGCACAAAAGAGCAGCGCGCGGUGGUGGAUUGCUG
RNAcentral lists this long non-coding RNA (33382 nucleotides) under Triticum aestivum (bread wheat). RNAcentral describes it as "long non-coding RNA (TAES_LNC004988)". Lineage: Eukaryota; Viridiplantae; Streptophyta; Magnoliopsida; Poales; Poaceae. The record is from RNAcentral.